AUCUGGUCGAUCCUUAAAGUAGUAAUAUACUUAUCCCGGAGAUUAAGCCAUGCUUGUCUAAGCAAAUACAUUUAAACGGUGAAACAGCGACUGGCCCACCGAAUCAGCUGUGGUUCCUUGGAUCGUAUAUACUACAUGGAUAACUGUAGUAAUUCUAGAGCUAAUACAUGCCACUAUGCCCUGACCCGCGAGGGAACGGGUGGAUUUAUAAGGACAGAACCAACCCGGGGGCGGCCUCGGUCGUCUCUGCUGCACUCUGUGGUGACUCUGGAUGACUUCACUGAUCGCAGUCUGCCUUGUGUUGGCGACGGAUCUUUCACAUGUUUGCCCUAUCAGUUUUCGACGGUAGGUGACCUGCCUACCAUGGUGCUAACGGGUAACGGGGAAUCAGGGUUCGAUUCCGGAGAGGGAGCCUGAGAAACGGCUACCACUUCCAAGGAAGGCAGCGAGCAAGCAAAUAACCCAAUCCCGGCACGGGGGGGGGAGAAGUGACGGAAAAUACGGAGACGGGACUCACUAGAGGCUCCGUAAUUCGAAUGAGUAUAAUUGAAAUCUUUUAACGAGGAUCAACUGGAGGGCAAGUCUGGUGCCAGCAGCCGCGGUAACUCCAGCUCCAGAAGCGUAUAUUAAAGUUGUUGCAGUUAAAAAGCUCGUAGUUGGAUCUGGGUCGCAUGGCUACAUGCCGUCGCUCGUGGGUCUGGCCUGGUUACUGCCGGGUUGAGCUUGCUAGUCAGUCUCGUGGUUGUGCUUCUUUUCUGCUGUCUGUUUAUAGGUGUCAGCGUUACUGGUGGGUUUGCUUGCUAGUCUUUAGGCACUCUACUUAGUGCCUUUAAUCUAAACAAAUUUUAGUGCUCAAACCAGGCCUUUGUGCCUGAAAUUUCUUGCAUGGGAUAAUGGAAUAGGAGGUUGGUUCUGUUUUGUUGGUUAUCGGAUCCAGAUUAAUGGUUAAGAGGGAUAGACGGGGGCAUUUGUAUGGCGGUGUUAGAGGUGAAAUCCUUGGAUCGCCGCCGGACAAACUACAGCGAAGGCAUUUGCAAAGGAUGUUUUCAUUGAUCUUGAGCGAAAGUCAGAGGUUCGAAGACCAUCAGAUACCGUCCUAGUUCUGACCGUAAACGAUGCCAACCGAUGAUCGGUGGUGGUUUUUUGUGUGUCUCAGCAAGCUGCCCCCGGGAACCCUUAAGUCCUUGAGCUCCGGGAGACGUAUGGUCGCAAAGCUGAAACUUGAAGAAAUUGACGGAAGGGCACCACCAGGAGUGGAGCCUGCGGCUUACUUCGACUCAGCACGGAAAACCCGCCCUGCCCGGACUAUGUAAGGAUUGUCAGAUUGAUAGCUCCUUCUUGAUUCGGUGGUCGGUGGUCGGUGGUGCACGGCCGUUCUUAGUUAGUGGAACGAUUUGUCUGGUCAAUUCCGGUAACGAACGAGGCUCGGGCGAGCUAAAUAGUAUGUCUGUCCUCUGUGCUCGUGUGGGUUGCGUUGUUCAUUGCCUCUUUGUGGGGUAGUGGUUGCGUUGACCGGCGGGUGCGGCAUAGCUACCUAAUUCCUGGAGGGACAAGCGGUAAGCAGUCGCACGAAAUUAAGCAAUAACAGGUCUGUGGUCCCGUUGGAUGUCCGAAGCCACACCUGCGCUACAGUAACGGUUUCAGCAAGUUUGGAAUUCUGGCCUGAGCAGGUUGGGCAAACUGCAUCAUAACCGUCUUGACUGAGAUGGAGCUUGCAACUGUUCCCCGUGAACGAAGAAUUCCUUGUAAGUGCAAGUCAAAAGCUUGCGCCGAUUAUGUCCCUGCUCUUUAUGCACACCGCUCGUCACUACUACAGAUUGGAUGGUUUACCAAGGCCCUCGGAUUGGUUCCAUUGUAGUGGCUUCGGCCUCUGGACCGGUGCUGAGAAGAAGACCAAACAUGAUCAUUUAGAGGAAGUAAAAGUCGUAACAAGUUUUCCGUAGGUGAACCUGCGGAAGGAUCAUUA
RNAcentral lists this ribosomal RNA (1966 nucleotides) under Fasciola hepatica (liver fluke). Its description in RNAcentral is "SSU rRNA". It matches the Rfam family "Eukaryotic small subunit ribosomal RNA". Lineage: Eukaryota; Metazoa; Platyhelminthes; Trematoda; Plagiorchiida; Fasciolidae. The record is from RNAcentral.